CCAUCGAGGAGGUGGCUCCGGUGGUUGC
Molecule: small RNA, 28 nt
Filed under: Bombyx mori (domestic silkworm)
Lineage: Eukaryota; Metazoa; Arthropoda; Insecta; Lepidoptera; Bombycidae
Description: ovarian small RNA-13593
Source: RNAcentral